RNAcentral lists this unclassified non-coding RNA (22 nucleotides) under Arabidopsis thaliana (thale cress). Lineage: Eukaryota; Viridiplantae; Streptophyta; Magnoliopsida; Brassicales; Brassicaceae. The record is from RNAcentral.
UGGUAUCGGAUAUCGGCACGAG